UGCAAGUCGAGCGAGAAAGCUCCUUCGGGAGUGAGUAAAGCGGCGCACGGGUGAGUAACACGUAGGUUACCUGCCUUACAGUGGAGCACAACCUGUCGAAAGAUGGGCUAAUUCUCCAUACGUCCCACCUCGUGGGAGAAAGAGGACCUCUCCUUGGAAGUUCUCGCUGUUAGAUGGGCCUGCGCAGCAUUAGCUUGUUGGUGGGGUAAUGGCCUACCAAGGCGACGAUGCUUAGCUGAUCUGAGAGGACGAUCAGUCACACUGGAACUGAGACACGGUCCAGACUCCUACGGGAGGCAGCAGUGGGGAAUAUUGCGCAAUGGGCGAAAGCCUGACGCAGCAACGCCGCGUGAGGGAAGAAGGUUUUCGGAUCGUAAACCUCUGUCAGGAGGGAAGAAACAGUCUGUACUUAAUACGUGCAGGCCUUGACGGUACCUCCAGAGGAAGCACCGGCUAACUCCGUGCCAGCAGCCGCGGUAAUACGGAGGGUGCAAGCGUUGCUCGGAAUUACUGGGCGUAAAGCGCGUGUAGGCGGCCAAAGGAGUCAGGUGUGAAAGCCCUGGGCUCAACCCAGGAAGUGCGCCUGAAACCAUUUGGCUUGAGAAUCAGAGGGGAGCAUGGAAUUCCAAGUGUAGAGGUGAAAUUCGUAGAUAUUUGGAGGAACACCGGUGGCGAAGGCGAUGCUCUGGAUGAUUUCUGACGCUGAGACGCGACAGCGUGGGUAGCAAACAGGAUUAGAUACCCUGGUAGUCCACGCCGU
RNAcentral lists this ribosomal RNA (760 nucleotides) under uncultured marine bacterium. Its description in RNAcentral is "bacterial SSU rRNA". It matches the Rfam family "Bacterial small subunit ribosomal RNA", at positions 56 to 803 of the family's 1533-position model. The record is from RNAcentral.